AAAGCGCGCGUAGGUGGUUCGUUAAGUUGGAUGUGAAAUCCCCGGGCUCAACCUGGGAACUGCAUCCAAAACUGGCGAGCUAGAGUAUGGUAGAGGGUGGUGGAAUUUCCUGUGUAGCGGUGAAAUGCGUAGAUAUAGGAAGGAACACCAGUGGCGAAGGCGACCACCUGGACUGAUACUGACACUGAGGUGCGAAAGCGUGGGGAGCAAACAGGAUUAGAUACCCUUGU
RNAcentral lists this ribosomal RNA (230 nucleotides) under uncultured bacterium. RNAcentral describes it as "partial 16S ribosomal RNA". It matches the Rfam family "Bacterial small subunit ribosomal RNA", at positions 562 to 791 of the family's 1533-position model. The record is from RNAcentral.